GGGCUUAUAGUUUAGUGGUAAAACGUUCCACUCAUGAUGGAUACUACGUGGGUUCGAUUCCUACUAAGCCCA
This is a transfer RNA of Fonticula alba, 72 nucleotides long. It matches the Rfam family "tRNA". Rfam says of the family: Transfer RNA (tRNA) molecules are approximately 80 nucleotides in length. Their secondary structure includes four short double-helical elements and three loops (D, anti-codon, and T loops). NCBI's taxonomy places the organism in Eukaryota, Rotosphaerida, Fonticulaceae. The record is from Rfam.